GGCUCGGUGGUGUAGUUGGUUAUCACGUCAGUCUAACAACAACAGUUGUUUCUUGGACACUGAAGGUCCCGAGUUCAAACCUCGGCUGAGUCA
RNAcentral lists this transfer RNA (93 nucleotides) under Alternaria alternata. RNAcentral's name for it is "tRNA-Val". The record is from RNAcentral. Lineage: Eukaryota; Fungi; Ascomycota; Dothideomycetes; Pleosporales; Pleosporaceae. RNAcentral also lists the same sequence under 2 other names.